Molecule: transfer RNA, 23 nt
Filed under: Aletris lutea
Lineage: Eukaryota; Viridiplantae; Streptophyta; Magnoliopsida; Dioscoreales; Nartheciaceae
Description: partial tRNA-Leu
Source: RNAcentral
UGUUCAAAGUCCCUCUAUCCCCA